GGAACUUUCUCGGGAGGGGGGAAUGUGCAUAUAGUUAGGCAGGCACGUGGGAGGUUGGCAUAUUCAGAAAACCACAGGCAAAGUUGAGAGGUUUUCAGUCUAGAGUGAGCUGGUGUGGUGAGAGGGAGAGAAGUAGCAGUGACCUCCAGCCCUGGCCAGGGAGAUCUGAUGGAGAGGACGUGUUCACCAGAAACCAGAGCGUCAGCACCGGAUGAAGAACAGGGCUAGAGCAGCACUGUGCAAGGAUCGAGCAUGUGUGGAGAAUCAGACAGACAUGGUGUCCGCGCUCAAGGCGCAUAACUCAGCGGGAAGACAGAAGAUAAAUACAGUAACAACUGACACUUUCUACAGGCUAGAUAGAAGCUCAUUUAACCCUCACAACAACUCGGCGAAGUCGCUCCUCCUACUAAGGGAGAGACAGGGUCACAUAAAGGUUGCACUCAGCUCCAGGAUGCUUGAGCACCACAAGGACCACCCCACAAUUGUGACAAGUGCCAUGAAGGCUGCAGUCCGGAGCACAGGUGAUCAACCCUGUCUCACCACUUCAAUUACAAAUGUUUUUAUUUUUCCUUCUGCGUUUUAAUUGUCCCCACACAGGCCCUUCUGAGGUGGACUUAGUAGCAAAAAUAGUAAACGCAUAAUGGCCGGCACUAUUCACACGUCUACUAACCAAACGCUCGUGAGAGCCUGUGACAAGCCCUACUGAUGGCCGCAAACUCACCCUAAGACAUCCAGGGCGGCCUGUUAGUGUGGGCUUCCGAAAGUCCUCAGGGAUCGAUGAGUCGUGCCAGCCUCAGACUCAGCCUCUCAGUGUUGGAAGACAACAAUGUUCUCUCCUGAGCUCGGGCUGUGAUUCCUGAAGACCCUGCGGCAGAGGAACUGGAGGCUUGUGGAGGGUCAGACCUGGGAGUAAGUCUGUGAAGUGGAUCGUGCAGUAAAGUUAACCAUACAGACAGCACACUCCAAGUCUCAAGUGGUGACGAGUAACGGCCAUUAAAUUUGUUCACCAACGUUUCGUCCUCACCUCAUCUACAGAGCCGUCCAAGCCUUCGCCCCAGUGGGACACCGCGUGCCUGCCCCCACGUUCCCACCUGUGUGCACUGCCCUUACCUCUGUCACAGAACCCAGGACACUCCUAGCCAGGGUUGUCAGCCUUUUCCAGCCCCUCAAGGUCAAGAAAUGGUCCCCUGGACCUGAUGAGACCACCACCGUGGAUGGUGGGCAGGCGGCACCCCCUGAGCACUUCAAGAAUGUUCCCAAGUAAAUGCCUGAUUUUCCUCUUCAGGGUUUCACUUAAUCCUCUGCUGUGAAGACACACUCUUUAGAAGUGACCUGGGGUUUAAUUUUUGUUCUGUUCUUUAUUGCUGGCCCUUUGUACAGCAGCUGGUUUCCCCUUGGGCAUACAUUGCAGCUUAAUUUGACUUUUUUUUCACUAAAUGUUAAAAUAUUUUUGGCAAUCGAUUGUCCCUUUAAGAUUAUAUGAUUUCCAUUAGAGUUUAUUUCUAAGAAGAUUGUGAAUGUGGCUGACACAACCUUGCUUCCAGAUGAAAGACGGGGUUCUUAAGGUGAAAAUAACAAGUCACCCCCACUCCUAAUACGCACUAAAAAUUCUUGGAAAAAAAUUGAGACUAAUUUAAACCAAAGUGAAUAAAGCUAAUACUGAUUAAAAUCAGAAAAUCUGAAUUCCAGCAUUGUCUGUGGCCACGGAGAGAGCCUUCCAAAGCCUGAGCCUGGCCCAGCUUUCCCCAGGAGAGCAAAGGAAGCAGGCCCUCCCAGCUCUGACCCGCCACAGAAAGUGCAGGGGCCGGAUGCAUGUUCAACCCGGGCCGUGGUGUGUUUCUUGUGGCAAAACACAAACCGAUUCAGAUGAUCUUUUGAAUUUAAUACCUUUUCAUAAAAUCAUAAAUCUUUCCUCUCCCAUUUUAUAAAUGAAUAGACUGAGGCCCUCGAAGUCAAAG
Long non-coding RNA from Equus caballus (horse), 1958 nucleotides. NCBI's taxonomy places the organism in Eukaryota, Metazoa, Chordata, Mammalia, Perissodactyla, Equidae. The record is from Ensembl.